CAUUCGAUAAAUGUAUUCCUUAAAAACUACUGCAUUUACAACGAUGAUUUUAUUUUUUAUUUCAGUGGACCUAAUGUUUUCCCUGUAUAGACCGCAUCGACCAGGCCGGGGACCAGGCCAGACCUGGCCAAAACAGAACAGACGCCUCCGCCGUUGCCGCCGCCUUUGGCUCGUUGAGCGUCUUGGGAGGCAGACAUAAAUGUUGGACAUUAACGGCUAAUUUUUGGGGGGGUGCACUUGCAUCCUGCAUUCACAAGGAAGAAAAUAAAGGAAAGAAUUUAACGUAAAGCUUUAAAGUGGAAUAUAGUGAGGAGAAAGAGGAAAAACCAAUCCGAAUGGAAAUCCAUUAGCGGCGAACAAAUUUGUAAUUUCCGCUGCUGGGCACACGCACAUCGCAGGACAUCGAGGAUAUAAAGGACACAGCUGGACACUGCUCGCCACCCCCCGCUACAUGGCUGCUUUUGAGGUGUGUUCGGUCAGGACACGCGAGCUGAAGGAAUCCAGCUUUAAGCGAGAUUUGGCGCCCCUUUUUCGGAGUCCUGCAACUUUUUAAUGAAAUUCCAUAAACCGGUAAUCAAAAUCCAGCACCCGGAUGACCAGAAAUAUGCCCAGCACUUGUCGCCGGCGACAAGAUUGCCCGGAAGUUGUAAAUUAUGCAGGCUCCUCACACCUCACACAUAUUUUACUUUACUGACCCCCCCCAGGGCUGGCUUCAAAGUUUAGAUUGAGUAAGUAAAGUAGAGAUUAAAGAGGUAGUAUAAAUUUUAAAACUAUUUAAAUAGUAAAUAUUAAAAAUUAAGUGCUACUUAAAGAGCUCAACGACUUUGAUAAAAAUAUU
Molecule: long non-coding RNA, 838 nt
Organism: Drosophila serrata
Lineage: Eukaryota; Metazoa; Arthropoda; Insecta; Diptera; Drosophilidae
Source: RefSeq, a predicted model, not a curated record